AAUGGAGUUCACUACCUUG
RNAcentral lists this non-coding RNA (19 nucleotides) under Arabidopsis thaliana (thale cress). The record is from RNAcentral. Lineage: Eukaryota; Viridiplantae; Streptophyta; Magnoliopsida; Brassicales; Brassicaceae.